UGGGGAAUAUUGCGCAAUGGGCGAAAGCCUGACGCAGCGACGCCGCGUGAGGGAUGAAGGUUUUCGGAUCGUAAACCUCUGUCAGAAGGGAAGAAACCGCACUGUGCUAAUCAGCAGUGCCUUGACGGUACCUUCAAAGGAAGCACCGGCUAACUCCGUGCCAGCAGCCGCGGUAAUACGGAGGGUGCAAGCGUUAAUCGGAAUUACUGGGCGUAAAGCGCACGUAGGCUGCUUUGUAAGUCAGGGGUGAAAUCCCACGGCUCAACCGUGGAACUGCCUUUGAUACUGCUUAGCUUGAAUCCGGGAGAGGGUGGCGGAAUUCCAGGUGUAGGAGUGAAAUCCGUAGGUAUCUGGAGGAACAUCAGUGGCGAAGGCGGCCACCUGGACCGGUAUUGACGCUGAGGUGCGAAAGCGUGGGGAGCAAACAGG
RNAcentral lists this ribosomal RNA (429 nucleotides) under Fusobacteriota bacterium. Its description in RNAcentral is "Fusobacteria bacterium partial 16S ribosomal RNA". It matches the Rfam family "Bacterial small subunit ribosomal RNA", at positions 355 to 776 of the family's 1533-position model. Lineage: Bacteria; Fusobacteriati; Fusobacteriota. The record is from RNAcentral.